CUCCAGUAUGAGUGUCAACUGCAGAGCCAACAACACCAUAACUGCCUUUCCCAAUGACUUCUUGUAUUUGAUAUCGACUUGCCUCUCCAUACUCAGUGAAGAAUUCUGCUUCAGCAGAGCCCUUCUUGUGUGCAUCCAUGGUAGUAGUAGAGCCAAAAGCGAAAUGGGUAAUUUGUUGGGGAACUGUAAUGUGCUUUAAUCCAGAGAGAUCAAAAUCCUCAAUAACCGUUAACGGAUUCUCCUGCUCCCCACCUCCUUCGUUUCUUCGCCUUUCACGCACACUAGUAGCCGAUGAUUGUGGGUGGCCACUAAUAAUAGUAUCUGAAGAUGAUGAUGACGAUGAAGAAGUGUUGCGGCGAUGAAACCAGCGACGAANNNCCAUAAGAGUCCCGCUCCCCAUAUAAAUCUCAGGCUGUUUGAUUUACAGCCACUCGAUUCUAGCAUUUGCCCACCUUCCUAUUUUCUAUGUAUGGUUUCUUGUUUCCUAUUUUGGGUCUGGAUUUGCUAUUUUCUCGUCGAUCGAAUUGUUUGCUAUUCUUGCUCUUUUGCAUGUCUCUCUUCUUUCUUUCUUUUUAUGAUUAUUUUACGAGGCAGAGAUGGACACGUUUGCUUCUUCCCCCUAGUAUUUAAUUGCUUCAAGAAAUUAUUCUCUGCGCCAACAUCAUCAUCUUCACAUCCACACUGACCACCCCUCCCAAUCUACCAGAGCUUUCUUCUUUAUUUUU
Molecule: unclassified non-coding RNA, 725 nt
Filed under: Hevea brasiliensis (rubber tree)
Lineage: Eukaryota; Viridiplantae; Streptophyta; Magnoliopsida; Malpighiales; Euphorbiaceae
Source: RNAcentral